CAGUCGUACCGACGGAAAAUCAGCUCUUUGAGUGCGGACUUGUGGGCUUACGUGAGUUUAAACACCUCGCUGUUUGCAACGUUCGUGUUUUUUGGGUGUACUUUUUCGUAUGGUAGGCCAAUGUCAGUUUCGAUCGCUAUAAAAUGACCGGCGGAAUGUAGCUUCGAUCUCGUAUUGAAGUGUUAUAGCCUCUGGUAGAUGUGGUGAUCGGGACUGAGGAUUGCAACGAAUACCUUUUGGGCUAUCCGUCUGAUCUCUGAAGGUUGCUUAGGUGCCGAAAGCGUGCUUACGGUUAUUUAAGUUGACAGUCAAAAGGUUAGAACGGAUUAUA
RNAcentral lists this ribosomal RNA (331 nucleotides) under uncultured Glomeromycotina. RNAcentral describes it as "eukaryotic LSU rRNA". Lineage: Eukaryota; Fungi; Glomeromycota. The record is from RNAcentral.